Molecule: long non-coding RNA, 1216 nt
Organism: Sarcophilus harrisii (Tasmanian devil)
Lineage: Eukaryota; Metazoa; Chordata; Mammalia; Dasyuromorphia; Dasyuridae
Exons: 2
Source: RefSeq, a predicted model, not a curated record
UCUCUUUUGUCUGGAGAUGAGGAUGUGCUGGGACCAGAGAGGAUGGAGGUCUGUGCGCCCUUCAUCCAGUUCCCUACCUUUCCGCCUUCACAGCGAUCUCCUCCAUUACCCCCAUCUUCCCUCAUCUCCGGACAGACUGAUCCUGAGGGUCCUGAGGAGCCUAAGCUGCAGGGAGUGAGGGAAGAAAAGAAAAGUGAGCCCAGCUGUUUGAUGCACAUGUACACCACCUGUGGCCCUCUCUCCUCCUAGAAGACGGAGGGUGAUGGUGUCUUCUCAUGUAUCCUUUUCAGUCUUUUACAUUUUCUUAUAGCUACUUUCCGUUUUUGUUUUGUUAUUCUUUCCAUAUAAAUUGAUUUUGUUUACCAAGUAUAUGUGUGUGUUUGUGUGUGUGUAUGUAUAAAGAGAUAGAUAGAUAUAGAUCUCUCUCUCCCUAUAAACACACACACAAAUAUUUAUAUAUAAUGUUUUUUUGGCUUGGUAUGAUUCAUGUUGCAUCAUUUCACAGAGAUCUUUCUCUGCUUCUCUAUACGCAACACACUCUUCAUUUCUUAUAACAAUAUUGUGAUAUUCCACAACAUUGGUUUCCAUGCCUUCUCUGGCCAUUACCCACUUGAGAGCAUCUACUUUGUUUCCAGGUCACAGCUGUCACAAAAAGUGCUGUUAUAAGUUUUUUGCUGUAUGUGGGGACUGUUUUCUUAUUGGUGCCUUCUCGUUAUGUAAUGGAUUAUUUGUUUUAAAGGCUUUGGAUAUUUUUGUUACUUUCUUUGCAUGAUUCCAAAAUUACAUCCCAGAAUGGAUGCUCUCCUAAUUUGCUUAUGGUUCUCCCUUCAUGUCUAAAUCGCCUACCCAUUUUGGUCUUACCUUGUUGUUGUCAUUGUGCUGUUCAUCCUUCUUUCUGGAAGAGGACCAAUGGCAUCUAGAAGCUCAUGACUUGCAAGUGAAUUGCAUUUAGGUGAGGCAGAGCUGGGCAAGGUCACCAGCCUCUCUCUGCUCCAGCGUCAGCUGAGCCCAGUGGCAAGACCUAGGUCAGGCAGACUGACCGUGGCACAGUAGGCAGCUGGAGACCUUUUUCUGUUUAAGCUAGGGCCCUUCCCUUGUCUCACUUGGUCCGAGGUAACAGUAAUUUAGUGAUUUAAGGCUCCUUAAGAAACGAGGCAAAAGAUGCCCUACUUUGCCUACUCAAUGAUAAUAACAACAACAAUAAUAAUAAUAAUAA